Molecule: transfer RNA, 75 nt
Filed under: Caudoviricetes sp.
Lineage: Duplodnaviria; Heunggongvirae; Uroviricota; Caudoviricetes
Description: tRNA-Thr
Rfam family: tRNA
About the family: Transfer RNA (tRNA) molecules are approximately 80 nucleotides in length. Their secondary structure includes four short double-helical elements and three loops (D, anti-codon, and T loops).
Source: RNAcentral
GCUCCCUUAGUUUAACUGGCAAAACAAUAGUCUUGUAAACUAUCGUAGUAAGUUCAAGCCUUACAGGGAGCUCCA